Molecule: ribosomal RNA, 301 nt
Filed under: uncultured bacterium
Lineage: Bacteria
Description: partial 16S ribosomal RNA
Rfam family: Bacterial small subunit ribosomal RNA
Source: RNAcentral
CAGUCGCCACGGUAAUACAGAGGGUGCGAGCGUUAAUCGGAUUUACUGGGCGUAAAGCGUGCGUAGGCGGCUUUUUAAGUCGGAUGUGAAAUCCCUGAGCUUAACUUAGGAAUUGCAUUCGAUACUGGGAAGCUAGAGUAUGGGAGAGGAUGGUAGAAUUCCAGGUGUAGCGGUGAAAUGCGUAGAGAUCUGGAGGAAUACCGAUGGCGAAGGCAGCCAUCUGGCCUAAUUCUGACGCUGAGGUACGAAAGCAUGGGGAGCAAACAGGAUUAGAUACCCCAGUAGUCCCUGUCUCUUAUAC